Long non-coding RNA from Equus asinus (donkey), 1578 nucleotides. Lineage: Eukaryota; Metazoa; Chordata; Mammalia; Perissodactyla; Equidae. The record is from Ensembl.
UGACAACGCAGGAGUGACAGCUCCAAGGCAGCUGUUUAUUGAGAGUUCUUUCUAGUGCCAGGCACAGUGCUCAGCGUGGCCCCAACCAGCCCAGGAGGCAGCGCGGACUGUGUCCGUCCUUCAGACAAAGGCCCCAGGAUCGGCAAUGUGAGGGUGCAGGGCAGUCGGGCCUCAGCCUGCAUGCUCUGGCUCCGAGGCAUGGCUGGGCCCUUGUCCCUUGACCUCAGGGGCUUGUGCUGGACCCCCAGCCGCUUGGGCCCACCCCCUUGGGUCCUGACCCGGCCUGGAGGAGGCCCUUUGUGGGCUGAGCUUGCACAGCAAGGGUCCCUCCCCUUGGCUGCCGUGACCUUCAGAGAACACACACUGGCCCUUAUCUGGAACACGGGUGGCAAGGGGGCGGGGGUAGGGGGCCUGCAGGUGCCUCUGCCCAGGGCCCCACCCUCUUCAAGGAACCUGCACUGUUCACUGUCGUGUGGGCUGUGCCCCCUUGCAGACGGGCCUGGCUUGGGGUGGAGACGGCCCAGUGUCAGUAUGAUGUCUGUCCAUUGAGGUGCCUGGUCACAGACCUCCUCCAGCGUUGUCCUUGGGCACUGGUGGCCAGUCUCUGGACAGCAGGGAGGUUUGGAGUCUCUGGCUGGGUCAGGCGCUGAACACAGGCUUCUGGGUGGCCCUGGGUCCCAGUCUUGGGUCUUGAUUGAAGGUUAGUGCCCUGGUCAACCUUAGGCUUUCCGGCCUGGUCAUCAAGCCUCAGGGCAAGGUGCUCCCAAGGCCCUGUGGCACUGAGGCUUCAGGACGCGGCAACCAGUCUGGGCCUCCUGGUCUGUUGGUGGCAGGGCUAUCCAGGCAUGGGUGCUGCUCAGCGGCCGGAGCGGUCCAGCAGCAUGAAAAGCAGCCCCAGCAGCAUGAGCGGCAUGAAGAUGAGCAGCAGCCCCAGCAGCUCGAGGGCCAGCAGGCCCAGCAGUGCCAGGCGGCGGGCACAGGGCCCUCGUCCCCGCAGGGCCCAUAGCCGGGCGCCUAGGCAAGGCGGGCAGGGCAGGAAGGGCAGGCAGCCCCGGCCGCCCACACGCCCUGCCAGGAAGCGCAGCUGGUAGCGGUGCUCUAGGGAGGCCGAAGGUGGACUGGCAAGCCCAGAGCUGGGGUCAGCAGGGCCGUAAGUGGGGACCCAAGGGCACAGUUCAGGGGUGGGAGCCCGGAAGCAGGAGUCAGGAUGGGUGGGCUGGGACCCCAGGGUGGCGACGGGGUGGCUGAGGCUGGGAAGGUCAGCGUGGUCCUCAGGGGCUGGGGCGGGGUCUGGCACUGACCUCGCAGCAGCUGCCGCUUCCUCCGGGCUCCGUGCCCCACCGAAAGUAAACUUCGCUUGGGCCCCAGCGCUGUGCCAGCUCCAGGCGACCCCUGGGCCAGCUUGUGCCAUCCCCACCGGAUCCGCCCCAGCCAGGCCGCAGCCACAGCCUACUUGUGUCAGUGACUGACCAACAGACAGACUGACUCCAGGCAGCAGUGCUGGGCAGGCCAGCCUGCCUGACUCCUCCGACAGGAACUCUCCUCCCAGAGCUGAAGGCCCCUCCCAGGGGCUGGGAC